AGAUACUUUCUGACAUUUGAACAUCAUAUCCUUCUGCUGAGCCUCAAAGAAGCUCUACGGAUUCUUGGUCUUUUCGGCAACAGAAAGCAUCAGAGCGCUAGGAAGAAGCAAGACCAUACAACCUCAAAUGCCUUAUUAAAAAAGAGGCCGUUGGUCAUUCUUUGUGUUGUCUUUGCCACGAGCCUGCUGUUAUUAGGUGCAAAGAGUGUCUUCCUGUGGAGUGGUUCUGUGGAGACUGUGAUGUACUGCAUCACAAACAACAGCCACUCCACAACAGAGAAUGUGUUUUCAUGGAUUUUUGGAAGCCAUUCCUCCAACCUCACAUGUUGUCAACGGUGAAGAUCGAUAUUGAAUCCAUGAGCAAGCUUGCAUAUUGCCAUAUGUGAAGGUGGGACAAUGUUCCUGUGAAGGCACAAACUUCACUGUGGUUCCAGGCAAAGCAGGCGUUUUGACUUGCAUCUGCCAAUAUAUAUUUGCCAAACAUGCCAGCAUCAGUGGACCCCUGACUUGAAAGACCUACUUAGGAGUGGAUAUUGGCCUGGCUCAGUGACCAGUUCAACAUUUUAUACUCUGGACCUCCUGAGCUCCUUUCAGGAACUCCAAGUCAUCCCUCCAGGCAAGCCUUCGCAAAGCUGCUGGAGCAUCGCACUAAGAUUGGAGGAGGAGUAAGACUGUUACCAGACAAAACAAAUCCUGUAGAUCUGAAAAUGUGAGACUGGACAAAUUAACGGCGAUACACUACAGUGCAGCUUCUUAGAUUAUCCAUAUGCUUCAUUAGAGGAAGACCAGCUCUGCUGUAGGGCACCUUUCACCUGCCCAGCCUGCAUGCCAGAAAUGUUGGCUGUUUCAGCAGAUGGAAACAAAAACUUUAUCGCUUUCGCCGAGA
Long non-coding RNA from Danio aesculapii, 886 nucleotides. RefSeq lists it as uncharacterized. The record is from RefSeq and is a predicted model, not a curated record. Lineage: Eukaryota; Metazoa; Chordata; Actinopteri; Cypriniformes; Danionidae. The transcript has 5 exons.